This is a long non-coding RNA of Marmota monax (woodchuck), 2429 nucleotides long. RefSeq lists it as uncharacterized. The record is from RefSeq and is a predicted model, not a curated record. The transcript is spliced from 5 exons. Lineage: Eukaryota; Metazoa; Chordata; Mammalia; Rodentia; Sciuridae.
AUGAGGAGCUGACUUCCCUCUCAGGACCAACCCGGGAGAGCCCCAGUCCUGGGAGUGUUGGGUCACUCCACAGGGAGUGGCAGAGCCCCCUUCUCAGAGCAGAUUGAGAGAGACACCCAGGUUGUGGACUCUCAUGGGUCAUGCCUCCAGGGGCUCACGGAGCUCCCUUCUCAGAGCAGCCUCAGCGUGUGGAUUCUUGGCUUAGGGACUUUCAUCAUGAACAUUUGAAAUAAAAUCAGAAUUUGUUAAAGGGCAGAUGACAGCCAGCCUUGAGCCCUGAUGAUCCCAGGAUCCCAUCCAGUGGGAGAACUCUACAUAUCAGUCCAAGCUUUUGAUCCCAUCUAGGAGCCAACAUGACAUCCAGUCAUCAUGUCUCCAUAGACUUCUCUUGGGGUGACAGUUUCUAUGAACUUCCUUGUUCUGAUGACCUUGAGAGCAUUGAGGACGACUUGUCAGGCUCCACUGUGGAUUCAGGAUGACUGAGGUCCAUGUGAGGAAAACAUGAGGAAGAAGCUUCCUGUGCACUGCCUGGUGGGCUGAGAAAUCAUGAACAUUUGAAAUAAAAUCAGAAUUUGUUAAAGGGCAGAUGACAGUCAGCCUUGAGCCCUGAUGAUCCCAGGAUCCUAUCCAGUGGGGGAACUCUAAGUACCAGUCCAAGGUUUUGUAUGCUAAUUGUUUCAUUUUCUUAUUUCAGAGUUAUUUUGUAAUGUAAUUCCCCAUGGCCUCCAGGUCUCCAGUUCUGUGCAGUAGGUGUUUCUAAUUCAAUUUUUGAUUAAUAUUCUUUCAGUUUUCUAUAGAAAUUUUAAAAUAUUUUUUUUAGUUGUCAGUGGAUCUUUUUAUUUUAUUUAUUUAUUUUGUUUAUUUAUAUGUGGUGCUGAGGAUUGAACCCAGGGCCUGACACAUGCCAGGCAAAUGCUCUGCCUUUGCACCACAUUCUAGCCCUUUAUAGAAUUUUUAAUUCUGUGGACUUCUAUUUUUUUAUAAGGAAUAUUUUAAAAAUUACUUUUACCUUACUUUGUUUUUGAUUGAGAGAAUUUUGAUUCUGAGAGUCUCAAGUGUUUUAGGUCCAACAUGUUUCCUUAAGAGGAAUAAUUAUUCAUUUUCUAUUUGAUUACACAAAUUCUUUUUUUUUUCCUUUUGUGGUUCUGGGGCUUCCUGCAUGCUAGGAAAUCUUUCUACCACUGAUCUACAUCCCCAGCCCCAUAGAUCCUUUAGUUAUCAUUAGCUUCAUGAUGAGCUAGUGACAAUAAGAUUACUUAGAAUUUCAACUAGAUUUAUACUCAUGCAAGAGUUUGGGCAUCCAUAGCUCCCUGUGAUUUCUAAAAGGUAGAGUUUCCCACAACACAGCAGCAUCUAAUAUCACUCCGGGACUGAUCUGACACCUCUGCUUCUCUUGUCUCACCACUUCCUGUAGAGGUCUUGGAGGAAAUGGAUGUUCUUUGACUAUUUGUCCCAGUGACAAAUAUUUGAUUAUAUUGCUGCUAAAAUGUAUGCAUAGAAAUAAAAUAGAGACAUUUUUUAUAAAGUCACUCUUUCAGGAAAGUUAAAUCAUGAGUUGAAAUAAAAUCUCCAAAAUGUCAUUUUUUCCUCUGUAGUGAUCACGUUUUAAGAAGGAAAACCUAGAACCUAGUGACAGCAUAAAAAUAUAAUAAGUUAACAUAUGUUAUUACUUCAACAUGAAAUAUGUAAAAGGGGCAUAUACUUUGAAGUUUUAAAAAAAAUUUUUUUAGUUGUAGUUGGACACAAUGCCUUCAUUUUCAUUUAUUUAUUUUUAUGUGGUGCUGAGGCUCAAACCUAGCACCUCACACAUGCUAGGUGAGUUCUCUAUCACUGAGCUACAACCCCAGCCCACAUACUUUGAAUUUUAUAUAAUAUCUGAAUUUUGGUCCUUACUACUAAUAUCCACAGUAUAGCAUCUAAAAGUAAUAAAAUAUGUGCCCUGUGGCCUAUAAAUGUCAUAUGAUAGCCAUACUAUAGCAUCUAAAACUAAUAUAAUGGCUGCCCUGUAGCCUUUGACUUUAGUAUAAUAUCAAUACUUUGUCCUCUGAAACUAACAGAAAAGCUGUCCUGUAGCCUUUUAAUACUAAUUUUAUCCAUAUGUAGCAUCAUUAUAGUCUCCAUGUAGCCUUUUAUUCUAAUAUUAUAUUCAUACUGUAGACUCUAAAAUAAAUAAAAUAGCUUCCUUUUUGCCUUCAAGGGUAAUAUGAUAUGCUCUAUGGUACCUAGAAAAUAUUAUAAUAGCUUCCCUGUGGUCUUUAAUACUAAUAAUAUCCAUGCUAUAGUACCUAAUACUAAUAGGUGCCUGUUGUGUUUAAUAUUAAAGAUGUCCAUACUAUACCUUCCAAAAACUAAUAUAAUAGCUGCUCUGUGACCUGUAAUAUUAACAUAAUAUCCAUACUGUAGCAUCUAAAACUGGCAUAAUAGCUGCC